This 1649-nucleotide long non-coding RNA is filed under the name Chinchilla lanigera (long-tailed chinchilla). RNAcentral's name for it is "lncRNA (ENSCLAG00000025097.1)". Lineage: Eukaryota; Metazoa; Chordata; Mammalia; Rodentia; Chinchillidae. The record is from RNAcentral.
AAGUAAUCAUAGAUUUCAGCCCUACAUUUGUAUUUACAUUUGCUGUUUGAUCUGGAUAUAGUACUUGUUUUCUUCCUCUAGGAUCUGUAAAAGCAAAGAGUGUCUUCAUAUUUCAUUGAAGCACCGUGUGUAAGAUUUGACCCCUGGACUUGAGAAUUGAGUGCAGCAAUCGUAUGAACUAAAGAAAGGAGAUACAAUGAACCCGUGGAUAUUCUUCUCAUGUGACAUUUAUUCUGAAUGAAGCAUUAGGGCAGCAAAUAGUUUGUAACUUAAUAAACCACCUACACUCAGGACCUGGUGCAAUGGAUCUAAUUCGUAGGUUCAAUGGCACAAGCAAGUUCAUCUAGGCUAUGCACAACAGAACUCAAACCUGGCUGUCUGAACCCUGGUCCAUCUUCACAGCCAAUGUGCACUACUAUCCUCCUCCUCAUCAGCAUCAUCAGUAAUGAGGACAGGAUAGUAGGACACCGACACGUUUCAUUCUAUUACCAUGAAGUUGCCUUGAACAGAUGCAGUUGAAGUACACAAUGAAGAGUACUGGUACUCUGAUUUCCAGUUCCAUAGUCCCUGGGAGGUAAAUGAAAACCAGUACAUUAAAGUAUCAAAAGAAUGAAAAAAAAAAAACUUAAUGCACAAUUGUAAUUUUCAUCUGAUCUAAAUAAACAUUUAAUAUUGAACACUGAUGAUAGUGUUGCAAAGAAGUCCCAUUGUGAAAUUUGUAAAGGAGAAUUUUAAGUAGCAUUUGUAUCAGCAUGCUAUGUCCCAUACGAAAUUUUCUUCUUUGACGCCACACAUUUAAAUACAUAGACUCUAAUAUAUAUUCAAAAACAGGGGGCUGGGGAUUUAGCUCAGCGGCAAAAGCGCCUGCCUGGCAAGCGCAAGGUCGUGAGUUCAGUUCCUGGUACCGGAGAAAAAUCAAAAAAAAAAAAAAAAAAAAAACCAAAAAAAAAAAAAACAGUCUGAAGGUUAUGUACAUUUAAUUACAUAUAUGUAUAUAUACAUACACAAGCAUAUACAUGUAUAAAAUUGAUGGGCAAUGAAGGCACAGAUCACAAUUUAUUAGUUCCAUAGGCCUCAAUUUGAAAAUUGUUAAUGAUUUCUAGAGCACCUUUUGGCCACGGAGUUCAUUCUCAUAUUUCACAACAGAAAUUUAUGACAUAAAGGUCCUGUGAAUAAUUUAGUACUCAUUAGUCAGUCUUAGACUGCUGACAAAAAUAAAUCUUUAGUAUCAACUCAAUUAAGUUAUUUUACUCCUCAUUUGUUUAAAUACCAAAAUUUUCUUUUUUCGUGAUUGUUGUGUUUUAUAGGAAUUUAUUUGAAGAUACUUCAGAAACUAACAAGUAUUUUUCAACUAGUUAUUUGAAUCUACUUUCAGACUAUGCUCAGUGACUGAAGUGGUUUUUUUCUGUGUACUAGCCUUUUUGGGCAGGUAAGAAACAGCACCUGAUUUCAGAAAUUACUUUUAUGUAAAUUGCACCAGGUCCUUAUUUAUAACUGCUUGAGUUGUUCUACCAACACCUAAAUCUCUCUCAGCCUUCCCUAAAAAAGCUAUCUAAAAUUCAUCAUCUCAGCUCACCCACUUUCACAUUCAUAUUUUAAUUUUCCUCUCUCUCAUGGCUAACUAUCAUUAUUCAACUUAGUGAAUUUCC